CAAAUGGACUCUCAGCAACGGA
This 22-nucleotide ribosomal RNA is filed under the name Frullania sp. 1 AAV-2018. Its description in RNAcentral is "partial 5.8S ribosomal RNA". Lineage: Eukaryota; Viridiplantae; Streptophyta; Jungermanniopsida; Porellales; Frullaniaceae. The record is from RNAcentral.